UAGGGAAUCUUCGGCAAUGGACGAAAGUCUGACCGAGCAACGCCGCGUGAGUGAAGAAGGUUUUCGGAUCGUAAAACUCUGUUGGUAGAGAAGAACGUUGGUGAGAGUGGAAAGCUCAUCAAGUGACGGUAACUACCCAGAAAGGGACGGCUAACUACGUGCCAGCAGCCGCGGUAAUACGUAGGUCCCGAGCGUUGUCCGGAUUUAUUGGGCGUAAAGCGAGCGCAGGUGGUUUAUUAAGUCUGGUGUAAAAGGCAGUGGCUCAACCAUUGUAUGCAUUGGAAACUGGUAGACUUGAGUGCAGGAGAGGAGAGUGGAAUUCCAUGUGUAGCGGUGAAAUGCGUAGAUAUAUGGAGGAACACCGGUGGCGAAAGCGGCUCUCUGGCCUGUAACUGACACUGAGGCUCGAAAGCGUGGGGAGCAAACAGGAUUAGAUACCCUGGUAGUCCACGCCGUAAACGAUGAGUGCUAGAUGUAGGGAGCUAUAAGUUCUCUGUAUCGCAGCUAACGCAAUAAGCACUCCGCCUGGGGGAGUACGACC
RNAcentral lists this ribosomal RNA (541 nucleotides) under uncultured bacterium. RNAcentral's name for it is "partial 16S ribosomal RNA". It matches the Rfam family "Bacterial small subunit ribosomal RNA", at positions 355 to 887 of the family's 1533-position model. The record is from RNAcentral.